CGGGGGGAGGGGUGGUCUCUCAGCCCGGAUUGCAAGAGGGUGCAGGCCAGGCCAGGGACCCCACCGGUGUAUG
This 73-nucleotide microRNA precursor is filed under the name Myotis brandtii (Brandt's bat). RNAcentral's name for it is "mir-9193 microRNA precursor family". It matches the Rfam family "mir-9193 microRNA precursor family". The record is from Rfam by way of RNAcentral. Lineage: Eukaryota; Metazoa; Chordata; Mammalia; Chiroptera; Vespertilionidae.